ACAGACUCAUGCAAUCUGCCUCAUGGCAAGUACUGUGUGGGUUUGUGUUCCUUGGUGGUGAGCCUUGAUGCUUUUAACUGGGUGUCUUGGUGAACCACCUCUGUUACCUUGAGAAAAUUAGAGUGUUCAAAGCAGGCAUAUGCCCAAAUACAUUAGCAUGGAAUAAUGAAAUAGGACAUGCAGUUCUAUUUUGUUGGUUUCUAGAGUUGCCGUA
RNAcentral lists this ribosomal RNA (214 nucleotides) under uncultured fungus. Its description in RNAcentral is "partial small subunit ribosomal RNA". The stretch from base 42 to 214 matches the Rfam family "Eukaryotic small subunit ribosomal RNA", at positions 690 to 864 of the family's 1831-position model. Lineage: Eukaryota; Fungi. The record is from RNAcentral.